CCUACGGGGGGCAGCAGUGAGGAAUAUUGGUCAAUGGGCGCGAGUCUGAACCAGCCAAGUAGCGUGAAGGAUGACUGCCCUAUGGGUUGUAAACUUCUUUUAUAAAGGAAUAAAACGAGGCACGUGUGCCUUUUUGCAUGUACUUUAUGAAUAAGGAUCGGCUAACUCCGUGCCAGCCGCCGCGGUAAGACGGAGGAUCCGAGCGUUAUCCGGAUUUAUUGGGUUUAAAGGGAGCGUAGAUGGGUUGUUAAGUCAGUUGUGAAAGUUUGCGGCUCAACCGUAAAAUUGCAAUUGAUACUGGCAGUCUUGAGUACAGUUGAGGUAAGCGGAAUUCGUGGUGUAGCGGUGAAAUGCUUAGAUAUCACGAAGAACACCGAUUGCGAAGGCAGCUUACUAAACUGUGACUGACAUUGAUGCUCGAAAGUGUGGGUAUCAAACAGGAUUAGAUACCCGUGUAGUC
This 460-nucleotide ribosomal RNA is filed under the name uncultured bacterium. RNAcentral describes it as "partial 16S ribosomal RNA". It matches the Rfam family "Bacterial small subunit ribosomal RNA", at positions 338 to 795 of the family's 1533-position model. The record is from RNAcentral.